Molecule: ribosomal RNA, 465 nt
Filed under: uncultured bacterium
Lineage: Bacteria
Description: partial 16S ribosomal RNA
Rfam family: Bacterial small subunit ribosomal RNA
Source: RNAcentral
GACGAACGCUGGCGGCGUGCUUAACACAUGCAAGUCGUACGGUAAGGCCCUUUCGGGGGUACACGAGUGGCGAACGGGUGAGUAACACGCGAGUAACCUGCCCACCACUUUGGGAUAACGCUAGGAAACUGGUGCUAAUACUGGAUAUGUGCUUCUGCUGCAUGGUGGGGGUUGGUAAGCUCCGGCGGUUGUGGAUGGACUCGCGGCCUAUCAGCUUGUUGGUGGGGUAGUGGCCUACCAAGGCGGCGACGGGUAGCCGGCCUGAGAGGGUGACCGGCCACAUUGGGACUGAGAUACGGCCCAGGCUCCGACGGGGGGCAGCAGUGGGGAAUAUUGAACAAUGGGCGCAAGCCUGAUGCAGCAACGCCGCGUGCGGGAUGACGGCCUUCGGGUUGUAAACCGCUUUCAGCAGGGACGAAGCUUUUUGUGACGGUACCUGCAGAAGAAGCACCGGCUAACUACGUG